This 253-nucleotide ribosomal RNA is filed under the name uncultured bacterium. Its description in RNAcentral is "partial 16S ribosomal RNA". It matches the Rfam family "Bacterial small subunit ribosomal RNA", at positions 524 to 776 of the family's 1533-position model. The record is from RNAcentral.
UACGAAGGGUGCUAGCGUUACUCGGAAUCACUGGGCGUAAAGGGCGCGUAGGCGGUUCGAUAAGUUGGGAGUGAAAUCCCGGGGCUCAACUCCGGAAUUGCUUUCAAAACUAUCGAUCUAGAGAAUGGUAGAGGAUGGUGGAAUUCCCAGUGUAGAGGUGAAAUUCGUAGAUAUUGGGAGGAACACCGGUGGCGAAGGCGGCCAUCUGGGCCAUUUCUGACGCUGAGGCGCGAAAGCGUGGGGAGCAAACAGG